This is a long non-coding RNA of Ictalurus punctatus (channel catfish), 2634 nucleotides long. RefSeq lists it as uncharacterized. The transcript has 5 exons. The record is from RefSeq and is a predicted model, not a curated record. NCBI's taxonomy places the organism in Eukaryota, Metazoa, Chordata, Actinopteri, Siluriformes, Ictaluridae.
UAUAUCAAAGGCUUGGACUGGAAAAUACCGUCAGUCAAAUCUGAUCUAAUACUAAUCCAAUGUUUAAGGACAGUAUAAAACCCGAUACCAAAAUUCAGUGUUGGAUCAUCAUAUAGACCAAAUAGACACUCUAAGCCCUUCUUUGUGCUGCUAUGUAAAAUAUAUUAGCACCCUUCUACCCCAUCUCCCAGCAGAAAUGAACCACCACUGAGCUGAUCUGGUUGGGGGUUUAUUCUUUACGUGUGUAACAAUCCAAUAGUUGAAAUGGGUCUAGUAUUAUUUUACAUUCUUUUAUAAAUUGUAUAUUAUCACAACUGGUUUAAAAAUAGUUAAUUUUUUUAUACCGACGUGUAAAUAAUUUUUAGCCGACUAGCAAUGUGAUUUGCCUGUAACUCUGAAAUAUUCCUUUUGUAUGUCAUCAUCAUUUGCAAAUUAACAUUAGUCCUACCCCAGAGUCUGAAUAAAGUUGAACACAUAUUCUGAAUAAAGCUUCUGAACACAGAGGCUACUAAAUAAAAUAGUAGCGUAUUGUAUUAUAUCUCCUUGUGUCAUAGCCAAUUCAGCGGUAUGGAAUUGUUGCCUUACCUGAGAUAUUCUUAGUAUGCUAACCUCAUUUUGUGGUGUGGUGCUGGUAUGAGUGUGUUGUUAUUGCUGUUGCUGGGUUUUAAUUGCUCACAUUUGCUUGAAACUCCAAACCCGUCAUUAGUGGGACAAAACAAACAAAAGAAUUUAUUAAUAUAACUGUAUACGGUAUACUGAAAACUAUACAUACAUUUCAAACCGCAAUUACCACCAAUGAGAACAAGACACAGAUUAGUAAGCUAUGGCCAGAAUUCCUUCUUGGAUUCUACACUACUAGUGGGGGAAAUAAGUAUUGGAUGCGUCAACAUGUUUUUCAGUAAAUAUAUUUCCAAUGAGGUUAUUCACAUGAAAUUUUCACCAGACAUCAGUAUUAACUCAAGAAAUCCACACAUAUAAUGAAAUCCAAACAUUAAAGACUAUAAAUAAAGUUGUGUGUAAUAUAGCGGAAUGACAGAAAAAGUACUGAACAUGCUAAUUGAAAUGUAUUUAAUACUUAAUGGAGAAGCCUUUGUUUGUAAUGAAGCUUCAAGACGCUUCCUGUAUGAAGAAAUUAAUGGGCCGCAGUAUUCAGGUGUGAUUUUGGCACAUUCUUCUAAACAUAUUGUCUUUAAAUCUUGUUCAGUUGGAUUCGAGUCAAAUGAUUGACUGAAAUUGAGUGUUUCCUUUGCUUUAUGCUUUGGAUCGUUGUCCUGCUGGAAGUCCACCUACGUCUCAUCUUCAUCAUCCUUGAGGAUGGCAGCAGAUUCUUCUCAAGAAUCUCCCGAAGCACUACCUGCACAGUGCUGCUUCAGUUAAGCCCAUGUAGACCCGGCAGCUCCUACAUCAGAAAAGCAGUAACAGCACUUUAUGAGUUCAACUAAUCGGGGAGGCGAAGAGAGUGGGAAAGGUCUGUGCUUGGACGAUGCCACACUGCCACCUGGAGAUGGUAUUGUACAUUACAGCUCCUCCGUACUCUUCUCUGAAAUUUGCCAGGAGAUGAUGGGCAAUGUCACAUGAUGCAACUAAACCAUCAUUCCUCAUGCCCAAGGUCAAGUACUGGCUUUACUGCUACAUGAAAGCUGUACAAUUCCACCUUUUCAGACUGGUGCGAACCUGCAACUUAAUUGCAGUCACACCCCUCCCACGAAUACAACAUCCUCCCUCCCUCGUUAAUGUUGCGUUCAACAUCACAAUAGCAACAUAAAUACUGCCACAGCCGGACAUGACAGGACUGCAAGAAAAGUCUACACUAUACAAUCCAACACCGGCAGAUGGGACACAAGAGACCACAACGGCAACAGUGUCUGCCAGCAACACGACAGAAUCAUAACGUGACAGGACCAAAAACACCACACUAUACAUUACAAAUACAUCAUCAUCAUCAUCAUCAUCAUCAUCAUUAUCACUACGUAUCUGAACAGAAUCAAACACCACACUAUACAUUACAAAUACAUCAUCAUUAUCAUCAUCAUCACUACGUAUCUGAACAGAAUCAAACACCACACGAGACAUAACAAAUACAACAUCGACAUCGCUCCGUAGAAAGAUCAAAUCAAACACCACAUGACGCCAGCCUACAUCCUUUCCAUGAAAGCUUCAGCAUAUCCUGAGCACCUAACAGCUGAAGCUUACUGUAAAACCAGUGGAUCACUUUCAGAUCUCCUCUAAACUCAGGAACCGAGUUCCAGAGAACUUUGGGAAUACAAAAACUGUAGAUGUUUUGUUUGAAGUUUUGAAAUGUGAGAAUUUAGCUUAUUUAACAUAUUUCUAAUGAAUUUCAUUUUCUAUGUAUGUUUAUAUUUAAUGUGCUUGACCACAAAUAUUUAAAUGUUUUAUUUAACAUACUUAUUUAACUCACACUUCUUGCAUCGUUUAUCUUGUUAAUAUUUCCCUGAUUUGUAGUAAUUCUCAUGAAUGUAUAGUUUCACAAUUAGAUUUCUGAUUUAUAAAUGUUACAUUAUUAAUUAAAUCAAUGUAUUAUUAUUAUUAAUUGAAGAAUUGUUUCACUAAUGGACUUUAUCAUAAAUGCUGAUUUUUUUUUUUUAAUUGGUGUACAAAUAAACUAUAUCUACA